AAGUCGUAACAAGGUUUCCGUAGGUGAACCUGCGGAAGGAUCAUUAAUGGGCUACCGCCUUCGGGCACACCCCCACCCUUUGUAACCGCGGCCCGGAUUCGGCGCCUGGCGGGGACCACCCCCGCUCGCGGGGGGCCCCGCCUGCCGGAAUUAGCCAGCCCUGCCUAGAAAAUUGAAGUCUGAGAACAGUAAAAUUAAACAAAA
RNAcentral lists this unclassified non-coding RNA (204 nucleotides) under plant metagenome. RNAcentral's name for it is "partial contains small subunit ribosomal RNA and internal transcribed spacer 1". The stretch from base 1 to 46 matches the Rfam family "Eukaryotic small subunit ribosomal RNA", at positions 1786 to 1831 of the family's 1831-position model. The record is from RNAcentral.